UACGUAGGGCGCAAGCGUUGUCCGGAAUUAUUGGGCGUAAAGAGCUCGUAGGCGGCCUGUCGCGUCCGCUGUGAAAUCCCGGGGCUUAACCCCGGGUCUGCAGUGGAUACGGGCAGGCUAGAGGCAGGCAGGGGAGAACGGAAUUCCCGGUGUAGCGGUGAAAUGCGCAGAUAUCAGGAAGAACACCUAUGGCGAAGGCAGCACUCUGGGACGGUACUGACGCUGAGACGCGAAAGCGUGGGGAGCGAACAGG
Molecule: ribosomal RNA, 253 nt
Filed under: uncultured bacterium
Lineage: Bacteria
Description: partial 16S ribosomal RNA
Rfam family: Bacterial small subunit ribosomal RNA
Source: RNAcentral